Molecule: ribosomal RNA, 497 nt
Filed under: uncultured bacterium
Lineage: Bacteria
Description: partial 16S ribosomal RNA
Rfam family: Bacterial small subunit ribosomal RNA
Source: RNAcentral
GACGAACGCUGGCGGCGUGCCUAAUACAUGCAAGUAGAACGCUGAAGAGAGGAGCUUGCUCUUCUUAGAUGAGUUGCGAACGGGUGAGUAACGCGUAGGUAACCUGCCUUGUAGCGGGGGAUAACUAUUGGAAACGAUAGCUAAUACCGCAUAACAAUGGAUGACCCAUGUCAUUUAUUUGAAAGGGGCAAAUGCUCCACUACAAGAUGGACCUGCGUUGUAUUAGCUAGUAGGUGAGGUAACGGCUCACCUAGGCGACGAUACAUAGCCGACCUGAGAGGGUGAUCGGCCACACUGGGACUGAGACACGGCCCAGACUCCUACGGGAGGCAGCAGUAGGGAAUCUUCGGCAAUGGGGGCAACCCUGACCGAGCAACGCCGCGUGAGUGAAGAAGGUUUUCGGAUCGUAAAGCUCUGUUGUAAGUCAAGAACGAGUGUGAGAGUGGAAAGUUCACACUGUGACGGUAGCUUACCAGAAAGGGACGGCUAACUACGUG